GGCAAGGACGUGGGAGGAGCCGGGGUAAGACGGUGGGGGGUGGGGUUGUCCGGGUGGAGUGGGCGUCAAGAGCUCGUAGGGGGGUUGGCGCGUGGUUCGUUAACAGGCGCAGCUGAAGUGGGGGCGGGCGGGCGAUACGGGCAGAGUAGAGUACGGCAGGGGAGACUGGAAGGCCUGGUGUAGCGGUGGAAUGCGCAGAUAUCAGGAGGAACACCGGUGGCGAAGGCGGGUCUCUGGGCAGUAACUGACGCUGAGGAGCGAAAGCGUGGGGAGCGAACAGGAUUAGAUACCCCGGUAGUC
RNAcentral lists this ribosomal RNA (300 nucleotides) under uncultured Methanomassiliicoccus sp. Its description in RNAcentral is "bacterial SSU rRNA". The stretch from base 60 to 300 matches the Rfam family "Bacterial small subunit ribosomal RNA", at positions 555 to 795 of the family's 1533-position model. Lineage: Archaea; Methanobacteriati; Thermoplasmatota; Thermoplasmata; Methanomassiliicoccales; Methanomassiliicoccaceae. The record is from RNAcentral.